CCUACGAGAGGCAGCAGUGAGGAAUAUUGGUCAAUGGGCGAGCGCCUGAACCAGCCAAGUCGCGUGAAGGAUGAAGGAUCUAUGGUUUGUAAACUUCUUUUAUAUGGGAAUAAAGUGAGGAACGUGUUCCUUUUUGUAUGUACCAUAUGAAUAAGCAUCGGCUAACUCCGUUCCAUCAUCCGCGGUAAUACGGAGGAUGCGAGCGUUAUCCGGAUUUAUUGGGUUUAAAGGGUGCGUAGGUGGUUAAUUAAGUCAGCGGUAAAAGCCCGGGGCUCAACCCCGGCGAGCGGUUGAAACUGGCUGUCUUGAGAGGUCGAGAGGUAGGCGGAAUGCGAAGUGUAGCAGUGAAAUGCUUAGAUAUUGCGCAGAACUCCGAUUGCGAAGGCAGCAUACCGGCGGCGAUCUGACGCUGAGGCACGAAAGCGUGGGUAUCGAACAGGAUUAGAUACCCUGGUAGUC
This 459-nucleotide ribosomal RNA is filed under the name uncultured bacterium. RNAcentral's name for it is "partial 16S ribosomal RNA". It matches the Rfam family "Bacterial small subunit ribosomal RNA", at positions 338 to 795 of the family's 1533-position model. The record is from RNAcentral.